Non-coding RNA from Delphinapterus leucas (beluga whale), 2495 nucleotides. Lineage: Eukaryota; Metazoa; Chordata; Mammalia; Artiodactyla; Monodontidae. The record is from RefSeq and is a predicted model, not a curated record.
GCCAGCUUACGAAGGACAGUGCUGAGCAGGUUAGACUUUUCCACUCCAUUUCUUUUCCUCCUACACUCCUCUCGUGUGCCGGAUCCUGCAGGGAGGGGUCGGAAGAAGGAGCCCGCAAGGCGGGGGGCGUGAGUGAGAGGGGAGAGAGAAGCAAGGGCGCAGCAGGCCCAGGGAGGAGACCAGAUUUAACUUUCAAUCACAUCUGAAGUUUUGAUGACGACAAGACACUUUUAAUUGCCUAAGUGACACAGUGUUUUGUGACUUAAAGCAACGACAGCACGUUUAUUGCCUGAGUGACCUGCAAAGUCAUGAGCCUUCUGAGGACCAUCCAGGAACAGGAGAAGAGCUUUACCCCCGAAUGCAUCUUAAAGGGGCGAUUGGAGGCAAAAUCAAGCUCCCCCGUGGUUGCACCCCGUGAAUCCUGCAUCCUUGUCUGUCUGAUGCACUAGCUCAUAAACAAACUGAAGACAGAGGCAGACUCUGACUCGUCGCGUGGCCUUGCAGGUCCCUUCCCCUCUCUGUGCCUGCAUUUCCCCAUCUGUGAGAUGAGGUGGGUCCCUUCGCCCCGAGGGCUCCAGCCCCCACCUUGGGGCGGAUCACUUCCGUUUUCCCCUGAGAACCCCGGUCUUCAAAGAAACUUAGGUGACCAAGACCCUGCCCGCGUGCAACGCACACUGCAGCGGGAGAGGAAGGAACUGGACCCCAAAUAGGUGUUGUUCCAGGGCGACUGUUGACAAGCGCUGUGAGCAGGUACGACUGCGGUCUCAACCAGGUGGGCGGGGGAAACCUCUUGGAGGAGGUGACCUGGAGGCAGUGACAGAUGGGGCAACCAAGAGCAGGGAGAGAAAUCGCCAAGCCUGAGCUGGAUCCAGCCACCCGUGCUCUGCAGAUGCCCAAGGACCAGCGGUGCAUAUGUGAAGUUUGUGUUUUCUCCUCAUUUUAAUAGGAAUACAGCGAUGAGGAACACAGCCUGGGCUGCAACGAACGGAUGGUCUGGUGGCAACAGAAGACAACAAAUUCAUAAGGAAGAUGAUUUCACGUUCAAUCAGUGCCCUAAGCAAAAUACCGCAUGACCACAUGAAAGAGAGUGACCCAGUGAGGUGUGCAAUUUGCCAGAAAGGGCUGGAAAAGAGCUCUGUGUAUCUUAAGGAUAGAAGGGCCCCAGAGGAUGGCCAGGGUGGAUGCGGAUUAAACCUGACUCCCAGCUUGGGCUCCACCUUCUCUAGCUGUGUGGCCACGGGCAAGUUACUCAACCUCUCUGGGCUCUCCUUUCCAUGUCUACAUAAUGGAGUAAGUAACAGUAUCUAGCACUUAAGGCUGUUGUGCAGAUUAAAGAAAUUAGAUGUACACAUAAAAUAUAUCUACACAUGUACAUAGCGCCCUUAGCCAAGAGCCCGACAGGGACCAAGCCCUCAGUGUGCGCUGGGCAGGACGCUUCUUUACCUUCCCGAGCCAGUGUACAGUCCCACGCCGCCUCGAUCCUUCUCUCCCUCCAGCGACUCUGACUUGCGGGGCCAUUCAGCCUGCUUUGCGAAGUGAGGAAGCCACAUUUGAAUUUGUUAGAAAAACAAAAAACAAAAAACAACAAAAGCCCCAAACCAAACAAACACUGCGCACCACGGCCGCUGUUUCCUUCCGCCUGUGCCUUCCACAAUAUGGUGCGGUGGGCCGGGAAAGCUUGGCCACAGAUGGCGUGCUUGGGACCAGCCCUGUUUUCUAAAUACCCGCUUCCUCAGUGUAAAUGAUAAUGCUCAGACACAUGGUGCCGCUUGGCUCCCGGGAGGCUCCGGCGUCGACGCUUUUCUUGGCCUGGCGCCCCGGGUCCGGCUUUCUCCCUCCAGAUGGCAGGCACGAGAAUCCUUCAAGACGCGGGAUGCAGAUGCGGGUUGCAGAUGCGGACGCUCAUGUUAGAGACAGGUCGGUCCCUCGGACCCUCGCGGGGCCACCACUGACUACUUGCUCUCCCAUCCGUGGCCUCAUGGCACAACCUGGGAGAUAGGUCCCCUGCAGGGGGACCCUCGAAAUGACGCCAAGGUGGGCCUGGGACUCGAACGCGGCUCUUGGGCGGCUGUGUUCCUGAAGCAUGCCCCCCUUCCAGGAAGAGUGUGCAUUCUUGGGAGGAUUCCACUGAGCACCCCUCUCAAAGGCAGCAAGGAGAGGGUGGGAGGUGGGGAGAGGCAGGGUGUUCAUCUCACGUCGGAAGGAAGAAAUCUCUGCUUUUGCACCUUCAGGCCUGCCCGCUGCCGGGCAGAGUGGAAAGAAGGCCAGCUUGGCAUCCGUACACACUUGCCUUUGGAUUCUGCCUUCCCUCUGGACUAGUGACUUCACAUGCUGAGCCUCUCCUAGGCCUACUUUCUUCAUCUGUAAAAUGGAAAUGAUGUACUGGGGCAGGGCUUGAGGGAGCAGGCAAGAAGGGGAUGUAUUGUCUUCAGGGAGUUUCAGCAAACAAAUAAAACCAACUCAAACUGGAGUUGGCUUUUUUUUUUCUUUGCAGU